Molecule: non-coding RNA, 93 nt
Filed under: Parahaemophilus parainfluenzae
Lineage: Bacteria; Pseudomonadati; Pseudomonadota; Gammaproteobacteria; Pasteurellales; Pasteurellaceae
Description: Haemophilus parainfluenzae Aggregatibacter sRNA 22
Rfam family: Aggregatibacter sRNA 22
Source: RNAcentral
UGCAGUCAAAAAAACGUAGGUUUUCAACGUUGGCUUUGCCAACGGCCCCACAAGGGGUGAACAAGCGAACGAGUGAGCUUGUGAAUAAAAAAC